RNAcentral lists this ribosomal RNA (253 nucleotides) under uncultured bacterium. RNAcentral's name for it is "partial 16S ribosomal RNA". It matches the Rfam family "Bacterial small subunit ribosomal RNA", at positions 524 to 776 of the family's 1533-position model. The record is from RNAcentral.
UACGUAGGGUGCGAGCGUUAAUCGGAAUUACUGGGCGUAAAGCGUGCGCAGGCGGUUCGUUGUGUCGGCGGUGAAAGCCCCGGGCUUAACCUGGGAAUGGCCGUUGAAACUGGCGAGCUGGAGUGUGGCAGAGGGGGGUGGAAUUCCGCGUGUAGCAGUGAAAUGCGUAGAGAUGCGGAGGAACACCGAUGGCGAAGGCAGCCCCCUGGGCUGACACUGACGCUCAGGCACGAAAGCGUGGGUAGCAAACAGG